This 468-nucleotide ribosomal RNA is filed under the name uncultured bacterium. Its description in RNAcentral is "partial 16S ribosomal RNA". It matches the Rfam family "Bacterial small subunit ribosomal RNA", at positions 28 to 507 of the family's 1533-position model. The record is from RNAcentral.
GACGAACGCUGGCGGCGUGCUUAACACAUGCAAGUCGAGCGGAAAGGCCCUGAUUUUGUGGGGUUCUCGAGAGGCGAACACGGGAGUAACACGUGAGUAACCUGUCCUUGUCUUUCGGGUAACUCCAGGAAACUCGGGCUAAUACCGGGUAUGAGCUCCUGCUGCACGGUGGGCGUUGGAAAGUUUCGGCGUUUGGGGAUUGGCUCGAGGCUUAUCAGCUUGUUGGUGGGGUAGUGGCUUACCAAGGCUUUGACGGGUAGCCGGCCUGAGAGGGUGACCGGCCACACUGGGACUGAGGGACGGCCCAGACUCGUACGGGAGGCAGCAGUGGGGAAUAUUGCACAAUGGGCGGAAGCCUGGUGCAGCAACGCCGCGGGCGGGAUGACGGCCUUCGGGUUGUAAACCGCUUUCGCCUGUGUCGAAGCGUGAGUGACGGUAAUGGGUAAAGAAGCACCGGCUAACUACGUU